CCUACGGGAGGCAGCAGUGGGGAAUAUUGCGCAAUGGGCGAAAGCCUGACGCAGCGACGCCGCGUGAGGGAUGAAGGUCUUCGGAUCGUAAACCUCUGUCAGCAGGGAAGAACGGUCACUGUGCUAAUCAGCAGUGAAUUGACGGUACCUGCAAAGGAAGCACCGGCUAACUCCGUGCCAGCAGCCGCGGUAAUACGGAGGGUGCGAGCGUUAAUCGGAAUUACUGGGCGUAAAGCGCUCGUAGGCGGUAUGUCAAGUCAAGGGUGAAAUCCCCGCGCUCAACGUGGGAACUGCCUUUGAAACUGGCAAACUGGGGUGGGUGAGAGGAUAGUGGAAUUCCAGGUGUAGGAGUGAAAUCCGUAGAUAUCUGGAGGAACAUCAGUGGCGAAGGCGACUAUCUGGCACAUAACUGACGCUGAGGAGCGAAAGCGUGGGUAGCAAACAGGAUUAGAUACCCCAGUAUC
Molecule: ribosomal RNA, 464 nt
Filed under: uncultured bacterium
Lineage: Bacteria
Description: partial 16S ribosomal RNA
Rfam family: Bacterial small subunit ribosomal RNA
Source: RNAcentral